GAGGUUAGGUUUGCUCCCGAGUGCAUAAUAACACGAAGUUGCAGAGAAUCGCUCAGUUUCUCUUUCUCCUUAUUUUCAAUGGAUGUUCCUUUAAGUUUCUAGAACCCAAGCAACUGGAAAAACGCAAUAAUGGGAAGUUUAAUAGCUUAAUAGCCAUAUAAAAAUGAACCAAGUCCUUUAGUCAAUGAGAUAACGGAAAAGGCACGCGAAGGCAGUGACAAUUCCAGCGACGCCGGCGACGACGAGCCAUAUGGUGGGCGGGAGCAGUCCGAGCAGCCGCGCGCCGUUCCCGCAGUUGGCCUCGUCGUGACCGGAUGGGCAGUGCGCGUGGCCGUCACA
Molecule: long non-coding RNA, 339 nt
Organism: Solenopsis invicta (red fire ant)
Lineage: Eukaryota; Metazoa; Arthropoda; Insecta; Hymenoptera; Formicidae
Exons: 3
Source: RefSeq, a predicted model, not a curated record